CUGGUGCCAGCAGCCGCGGUAAUUCCAGCUCCAAUAGCGUAUAUUAAAGUUGUUGCAGUUAAAAGCUCGUAGUUGAAUUCGGGUUAGUAGAUUGGUCAUGCCUCUGGUAUGCACUGGUCUUACUGAUUCCUCCUUCCUGAUGAACCGUAAUGCCAUUAAUUUGGUGUUGCGGGGAAACUGGACUGUUACUUUGAAAAAUUAGAGUGUUUAAAGCAGGUUAACGCUUGAAUACAUUAGCAUGGAAUAAUGAAAUAGGACGUUCGAUCCUAUUUUGUUGGUUUCUAGGGAUCGACGUAAUGAUUAAUAGGGAUAGUUGGGGGCAUUAGUAUUCAAUUGUCAGAGGUGAAAUUCUUGGAUUUAUUGAAGACUAACUACUGGCGAAAGCAUUUGCCAAGGAUGUUUUCAUUAAUCAAGAACGAAAGUUAGGGGGAUCGAAGACGAUCAGAUACCGUCGUAGUCUUAACCAUAAACUAUGCCGACUAGGGAUCGGAUGAUGUUAAUUUUUUAAUGACUCAUUCGGCGCCUUACG
RNAcentral lists this ribosomal RNA (529 nucleotides) under uncultured Glomus. RNAcentral's name for it is "SSU rRNA". It matches the Rfam family "Eukaryotic small subunit ribosomal RNA", at positions 561 to 1092 of the family's 1831-position model. The record is from RNAcentral. Lineage: Eukaryota; Fungi; Glomeromycota; Glomeromycetes; Glomerales; Glomeraceae.